RNAcentral lists this ribosomal RNA (435 nucleotides) under uncultured bacterium. Its description in RNAcentral is "bacterial SSU rRNA". It matches the Rfam family "Bacterial small subunit ribosomal RNA", at positions 89 to 518 of the family's 1533-position model. The record is from RNAcentral.
UGGCGACCGGCGCACGGGUGAGUAACGCGUAUCCAACCUGGCCCGCAGUAGGGAACAGCCCGGCGAAAGUCGGAUUAAUGCCCUAUGUCUCCCUUUGCAGGCAUCCAAUGAGGAAGAAAGAUUUAUCGCUGCGGGAUGGGGAUGCGUCUGAUUAGCUUGUCGGCGGGGUAACGGCCCACCGAGGCGACGAUCAGUAGGGGUUCUGAGAGGAAGGUCCCCCACACUGGUACUGAGACACGGACCAGACUCCUACGGGAGGCAGCAGUGAGGAAUAUUGGUCAAUGGGCGAGAGCCUGAACCAGCCAAGUAGCGUGCAGGAACCGACUGCCCUAUGGGUUGUAAAACUGCUUUUUAUGCGGGGAUAAACUUCAGCACGUGUGCUGUUUUGCAGGUACCGCAUGAAUAAGGACCGGCUAAUUCCGUGCCAGCCGCGGC